GGUCCCGUAGCUCAACUGGAUAGAGCACCAGACUUCUAAUCUGACGGCUGCAGGUUCGAGUCCUGCCGGGAUCG
RNAcentral lists this transfer RNA (74 nucleotides) under Aestuariispira insulae. It matches the Rfam family "tRNA". Rfam says of the family: Transfer RNA (tRNA) molecules are approximately 80 nucleotides in length. Their secondary structure includes four short double-helical elements and three loops (D, anti-codon, and T loops). The record is from Rfam by way of RNAcentral. Lineage: Bacteria; Pseudomonadati; Pseudomonadota; Alphaproteobacteria; Rhodospirillales; Aestuariispiraceae.